RNAcentral lists this long non-coding RNA (323 nucleotides) under Brassica napus (rape). Its description in RNAcentral is "long non-coding RNA (BNAP_LNC019626)". Lineage: Eukaryota; Viridiplantae; Streptophyta; Magnoliopsida; Brassicales; Brassicaceae. The record is from RNAcentral.
AUCAAGUUUGAAACCCAUUAUGUUCUCCCAUGAUAUUGUCUUCUUCUUUUUUAUGUAUAUGUACAUGAACGAUUGGAGAGAGAUUUGGGCUGACGAUUCUCUAAGACUCUAACAUGGCUAUCCAUGCCUCUGUUUAAUUGGGUCAGAGUUGUGUCUUCUCUGGUUCUGGGCAGACUUGGCUUUAGCUGAUUGAGAUCCUAAGGUUUUUCCUGCUCAGGAAUGUUCACAAUUUAGGCUGAAAAGGUCAAAAGACAACCUAAUUUUGUGUAACAAUUCAAGUGUGGUGCUUCGUAGAUGUAUUCAGAUUGAUGAGAGGCUUGGUC